UUCUGCUCGAAGCGCUUGAUGAUCUUGCCCACCAGGCCGCACUGCAUGCUGUCCGGCCUGAUGGUGAUGAAGACACAGCCUCACUCUGUCCUCCAGUCUGGAGUAUAGUGGCACACUGCAUUCUUCACCUCCUGGGCUCAAGUGAUCCUCCUACCUCAGUCUCCUGAGCAGCUGGGACUACAGGCGCCCACCACCAUGCCCGACUAACUUUUUUCGUAUUUUUUUAGAGAUGGGGUUUCACCAUGUUGCCCAGGUUGGUCUGGAACUCCUGGGCUCAAGCAGUCCACCUUCCCUGACCUCCCAAAGUGUUGGGAUUACAGGCGUGAGCCACUGCACCCAGCCUUGUAUAAGUACCUUUUUUUUUUUUUUUUGAGACGGAGUUUCACUCUUGUUGCCCAGGCUAGAGUGCAAUGGCUCAAUCUCUGCUCAACACAACCUCCCCCUCCGGGUUCAAGUGAUUCUCCUGCCUCAGCCUCCCGAGUAGCUGGGAUUACAGGCGUAAGCCACCACGCCUGGCUAAUUUUUGUAUUUUUAGUAGAGAUGGGGUUUCACCAAAUUGGCCAGGCUGGUCUCGACCUGCUGACCUUGUGAUCCGCCUGCCUUGGCCUCCCAAAGUGCUGGGAUUACAGACGUGAGCCACCGCGCCGGCCUGUAUAAGUAUCUUAUAAUCAUAUUGUAUCCCACUUUUUCCCACAAAUGAUACACACGUUACCUACAUCGUUCAGUGUUAUGUUUUCAGAUCUUGGAAGCUGUUUCGUUUCAGUACAUUUGAGCUUCCUGGGAUCUUUUCUGUGGCUACAUAAUUUUCCGUUGUAGAACUGUAUGUGAUUUAAUUAAACAGCCCCCUAUUGAUGGACAUUUGAGUUGUUUCCAGUCUCUUGCUCUUAAAAACAGCACUGCGGCUGGGCAUGGUGGCUCACGCCUGUAAUCUCAACAUUUUGGGAGUCCG
This 949-nucleotide long non-coding RNA is filed under the name Homo sapiens (human). RNAcentral's name for it is "HSALNT0370941". The record is from RNAcentral. Lineage: Eukaryota; Metazoa; Chordata; Mammalia; Primates; Hominidae.